This 375-nucleotide ribosomal RNA is filed under the name uncultured bacterium. Its description in RNAcentral is "bacterial SSU rRNA". It matches the Rfam family "Bacterial small subunit ribosomal RNA", at positions 521 to 896 of the family's 1533-position model. The record is from RNAcentral.
UAAUACGUAGGGGGCAAGCGUUGUCCGGAUUUACUGGGCGUAAAGAGCGUGUAGGCGGCCAAACAGGUCCGUUGUGAAAACUGGAGGCUUAACCUCCAGACGUCGACGGAAACCGUGUGGCUAGAGUCCGGAAGAGGAGAGUGGAAUUCCUGGUGUAGCGGUGAAAUGCGCAGAUAUCAGGAAGAACACCAAUGGCGAAGGCAGCUCUCUGGGACGGUACUGACGCUGAGACGCGAAAGCGUGGGGAGCGAACAGGAUUAGAUACCCUGGUAGUCCACGCCGUAAACGAUGGAUGCUAGCCGUUGGGGGGUUUACCCUUCAGUGGCGCAGCUAACGCAUUAAGCAUCCCGCCUGGGGAGUACGGUCGCAAGAUUA